GAUGAAGAACGUAGCGAAAUGCGAUAAGUAGUGUGAAUUGCAGAAGUACCGUGAAUCAUCGAAUCUUUGAACGCAAAUUGCACUCUCUGGUAUUCCGGGGAGUAUGCCUGUUUGAGGGUCGCUUAACAAACCAUCGAUUUCGUUGCUUUUUUUUUUAAAGUGAGGUUUAUCGGAUUUGAGCCGUCUUUUUUUUUAUAUUUAAGUGGCUUAAAAUUGAUUUUUUUGGUACGAUCGAAGCGUAUUUUUAUGAUCAAUUUUUGGUUAAAGAAACGCACACGUACCGUUAUUUAUAUGAUGUAAUACGUUUGACUAUUGGAUUUAGUUCAUUCGUAUACGAUAUCUUUCAAUAUUUGACCUCAAAUCAGGUAAGAACACCCGCUGAACUUAAGCAUAUCAAUAAGCGGAGGA
This 408-nucleotide unclassified non-coding RNA is filed under the name soil metagenome. Its description in RNAcentral is "partial contains 5.8S ribosomal RNA, internal transcribed spacer 2, and large subunit ribosomal RNA". The stretch from base 1 to 121 matches the Rfam family "5.8S ribosomal RNA", at positions 35 to 154 of the family's 154-position model. The record is from RNAcentral.